UGGGGAAGGUUUCCGCAAUGGGCGAAAGCCUGACGGAGCAAUGCCGCGUGGAGGUGGAAGGCCUACGGGUCGUCAACUUCUUUCUCGGAGAAGAAACAAUGACGGUAUCUGAGGAAUAAGCAUCGGCUAACUCUGUGCCAG
This 141-nucleotide ribosomal RNA is filed under the name uncultured bacterium. RNAcentral describes it as "partial 16S rRNA". It matches the Rfam family "Bacterial small subunit ribosomal RNA", at positions 355 to 511 of the family's 1533-position model. The record is from RNAcentral.